This 253-nucleotide ribosomal RNA is filed under the name uncultured bacterium. RNAcentral describes it as "partial 16S ribosomal RNA". It matches the Rfam family "Bacterial small subunit ribosomal RNA", at positions 524 to 776 of the family's 1533-position model. The record is from RNAcentral.
UACGGGGGGGGCAAGCGUUGUUCGGAAUUACUGGGCGUAAAGGGCGCGUAGGCGGCCUGCUAAGUCGGAUGUGAAAUCCCUCGGCUCAACCGAGGAACUGCAUCCGAUACUGGCGGGCUUGAAUCCGGGAGAGGGAUGUGGAAUUCCAGGUGUAGCGGUGAAAUGCGUAGAUAUCGGGAGGAACACCAGAGGCGAAGGCGGCUUCCUGGACCGGUCCUGACACUGAGGAGCGAAAGCGUGGGGAGCGAUCCGG